Molecule: ribosomal RNA, 597 nt
Filed under: uncultured bacterium
Lineage: Bacteria
Description: bacterial SSU rRNA
Rfam family: Bacterial small subunit ribosomal RNA
Source: RNAcentral
GUUGGCGGGGUAACGGCCCACCAAGGCGACGAUGCGUAGGGGUUCUGAGAGGAAGGUCCCCCACACUGGUACUGAGACACGGACCAGACUCCUACGGGAGGCAGCAGUGAGGAAUAUUGGUCAAUGGCCGCAGGGCUGAACCAGCCAAGUCGCGUGAGGGAUGACGGUCCUAUGGAUUGUAAACCUCUUUUGUCAGGGAGCAAAGGGCGCCACGUGUGGCGCUUUGCGAGUACCUGAAGAAAAAGCAUCGGCUAACUCCGUGCCAGCAGCCGCGGUAAUACGGAGGAUGCGAGCGUUAUCCGGAUUUAUUGGGUUUAAAGGGUGCGCAGGCGGAAUGUCAAGUCAGCGGUAAAAUUUCGGGGCUCAACCCCGUCGUGCCGUUGAAACUGGCGUUCUUGAGUGAGCGAGAAGUAUGCGGAAUGCGUGGUGUAGCGGUGAAGUGCAUAGAUAUCACGCAGAACUCCGAUUGCGAAGGCAGCAUACCGGCGCUCAACUGACGCUCAUGCACGAAAGCGUGGGUAUCGAACAGGAUUAGAUACCCUGGUAGUCCACGCAGUAAACGAAGAAUACUAACUGUCCGGGCAGAAUGAUGUCUGG